RNAcentral lists this transfer RNA (73 nucleotides) under Bacillus phage Kioshi. RNAcentral describes it as "tRNA-Cys". It matches the Rfam family "tRNA". Rfam says of the family: Transfer RNA (tRNA) molecules are approximately 80 nucleotides in length. Lineage: Duplodnaviria; Heunggongvirae; Uroviricota; Caudoviricetes; Herelleviridae. The record is from RNAcentral.
GAGGACGUACCGAAAUGGCUAACGGUCUAGGUUGCAACCCUAGUAUGUGUGAGUUCGAAUCUCACCGUUCUCU